Long non-coding RNA from Lagopus muta (rock ptarmigan), 1637 nucleotides. RefSeq lists it as uncharacterized. Lineage: Eukaryota; Metazoa; Chordata; Aves; Galliformes; Phasianidae. The record is from RefSeq and is a predicted model, not a curated record. The transcript is spliced from 4 exons.
CCGCGCUUCCGCCCCGACCCGGGUGCUGUGGGGCCCCGGCUUAACCUGGCGCGUUGGAUGGCAGCCCUGCAGAAGGCUUGGAACCGGGUGAUCUUUAAGUCUGUGUUGCCUUCUUGCUUCUAACUGGUGCUGUGGUAGCUGCUGGAAACUCCUGAUUUUGGCCAGGAUCCCAUAGAUACUGUACAGACAGCCCAAAGACUUACUACUCUUUUAGUACACCCUGAAUGGAUGACUCCUUUUACAACUGCAAUUAUAUAACACCUCCAUGCAAUGACACAGAAGAGAAAAAACAGUGCCUCUAGUGCAGCUUUUAGAUGAUCUAAUUCUGAGCUUGCUGGUGGCACCAAUUCUCUUUCCAGAUCAACUGAAUAGGUCAGAAGCUCCGGAAUACUGUACGUGUUUAAAAACACGGGCAUCUUUGCCCUUUUCUUUUGCUGUAUCUGAGUGUGAAAUUUGGACCAAGAAGGCAGCAGACUGAGAAAAUAUCUGAAGCCCUUUGGAAUGUGCUGCUGCUACUGCCAAGAACAGUCAUGCCAGGAAAACACAGGCAGAUCAAGAGCAAACGUGACCAAGUGUGGGGAGAAGAAGCAGGGAGAGAGCUUCGCUUUUGACUAAGGAUGGUCAAAAGUAAAAGUGGGACUAUUUUAGGGAGUUACUGAGUGGAAAUUGGAGAAUCGUGGUGAGAGGAAACUGAAAAGGGGGGUUCCAGGCUAAAUGGAGCUUUCGUGAACAGGCAAAGAGGGAUGACUGAGCUUGCUGAGAGAGAACUCUAAGAAGAAAUCAUGCCAGAAUGAGGCCAAGGGAAACUGCAAUCUAAAAGUACCGUGACAAAGUGAAAUAGCAGAAAAUCUCUUGCAAAUAACCCUAAUACAACCCUGUCUUUAUCCUGAAAUGCUUUCUUGUUCAUCACUAGAAGAGAACAGUGUCUGUAGCUCCAUACCACUGUACAGGCCACAGGGGGAGGUGACCCAUGCUCCCAUCAUUCAUUUUAGAAUACAGAACCGUGUUGUGAAGAGAUGGUCAAAACAGCAACGUUCAGAAGCAUGGCAUGAUUUAAAAGGCAGAACUCUCAAAUAAAGCCUGGUGGCAUAUGCGUUUUAACAAGUUCUUCAUCAAUCUUACCAUCUAAAUCCUUUUGAAAAUCCACUUCUGAUAUUUUUAGUUGGAAACGUUGCUUGUUUUCACCUCAAAUGGCUUGCUGUGACAUUUGGUUGAAGGUCUCAGUGUGACUCCGCAAGCUGCUCUCUUACUAGGUCUGGAAAUGCCACUUUUGUUGUGCAUUCACAACUAUUUCCCCUUCUAGACAAUCUGAGGAGGGAAGAAUUGCUAUCAUAGUGAAUUGUGCUGCAUGGGCAUUUUUGACAGGAUGUGGCAAAGACCACAUCAGGUGUUACAAACCACUAAAAGAACAAUUAUAGUCGUGUUUUGAAAGUUGUGACAGUACAGAGUUUGCCCCAAAGACAGAUGACACCCAUGAUAGGAGCCAGCUCUCCUUAAGGUGUUUGGUUUUCGUUUUUCUGGAGCAUGUUUGAGUUCUGGGAGUUGUGGGCCCCUCAUAGCACUCCGGAGAGCUAUGCACCAGUCUAGGGCCAUAUCCUCCUCUUGGUCUUGUGGCUGCUGCUGAAUGGAAAUGAAGA